Molecule: ribosomal RNA, 253 nt
Filed under: uncultured bacterium
Lineage: Bacteria
Description: partial 16S ribosomal RNA
Rfam family: Bacterial small subunit ribosomal RNA
Source: RNAcentral
UACAGGGGGCUCGAGCGUUAGUCGGAAUCACUGGGCUUAAAGGGUGCGUAGGCGGCCCGCCAAGUGCUUUGUGAAAUCCCCGAGCUCAACUCGGGAACAGCAGGGCAAACUGGCGGGCUUGAAGCAGGUAGGGGCUGGAAGAACAGUUGGUGGAGCGGUGAAAUGCGUAGAUAUCAACUGGAAUGCCGAUGGGGAAGCCGUCCAGCUGGGCCUGUCUUGACGCUGAGGCGCGAAAGCGUGGGGAGCGAACAGG